Molecule: small RNA, 5554 nt
Filed under: Pongo abelii (Sumatran orangutan)
Lineage: Eukaryota; Metazoa; Chordata; Mammalia; Primates; Hominidae
Description: retained intron
Source: RNAcentral
AAUUUCUCGGAGGCCGUUGGGCAGCUUUGCAGAUGAGAAGUGUAUCAGCCUCUUAAGGGUUUCGUUCAGAUGAGACGAGGCGGGAGCCUUGAGCUGACAGGGCUGCGUGGGUUCAGGAGAGGGAGCAGAAGACUCUCCCGAGCCCCCCAGCCCCUGUCUUGCACCCUUGGCUGCUCCCAGAGGCUCUCCAAUCUGCCAGACCUCUCUGGAUCUAGACUUUAGAAGGUGCAGAGAGAAGCUAAACGUAUUUUUGACUGGUAUGAACCCAUUCUACUUUCAUGCAGUAAAUAUAAUUUUACACUGCUUAGUGACCCUUGUGCUGAUGUACACCUGUGAUAAAACUGUCUUCAAGAAUCGUGGACUUGCUUUUGUAACGGCAUUGCUUUUUGCUGUACAUCCUGUUCAUACUGAGGCGGUGGCUGGGAUCGUUGGCAGAGCGGACGUGUUAGCGUGUCUGCUGUUUCUAUUGGCCUUUCUCUCCUACAACAGGAGUCUGGAUCAGGGCUGUGUUGGGGGAAGUUUCCCUUCCACGGUGUCUCCCUUCUUCUUGAUGCUCAGUUUGUUUCUGGGGACCUGUGCGAUGCUGGUGAAAGAGACAGGCAUCACGGUGUUUGGAGUGUGCUUGGUUUAUGACCUCUUUUCCCUUUCCAACAAGCAAGACAAGUCGAGCAAUGGGGCCCUCUGUCCACGCAGCCCACAGCAGCCCGGGAGCCCCCAGCCCUCCUCACUGCCAGGCCAUCCUCACCGGGAGAAUGGGAAGCAGCAGCGGUUCCCUCACAAAGGAGCUUGGGGUGGCUGCCACUCUCCACUGCCACCAGAACCCAAGAGCAGUGGAUUCCCAGUGUCCCCACGAGCUGUGUGGUCCAUGAUGAGGUAUCUGAGAGCAAGCAGCAAUAGAAAUUUCCUGCUUACCAUGAGACCAUUUUUAAAAAGGGCCAUUUUGGUCCUAAGUUAUGUGCUUGUCAUUUUGUACUUCCGUCUGUGGAUAAUGGGAGGAUCUAUGCCCCUCUUUUCAGAGCAGGAUAAUCCAGCUUCAUUUUCGCCUUACAUUCUUACGAGAUUCCUCACCUAUUCCUACCUCUUGGCCUUCAACGUGUGGCUUCUGCUUGCACCCGUGACCCUGUGCUAUGACUGGCAGGUCGGCAGUAUUCCUCUGGUAGAGACCAUAUGGGACAUGCGGAACUUAGCCACCAUCCUUCUGGCAGUUGUGAUAGCCUUAUUGAGCCUGCACUGCUUAGCAGCCUUUAAGAGACUGGAGCACAAGGAGGUUUUAGUCGGCUUGUUGUUCCUGGUGUUCCCGUUCAUUCCAGCCAGCAACCUCUUCUUCAGGGUGGGUUUUGUGGUGGCGGAGAGAGUCCUUUACAUGCCUAGCAUGGGCUACUGCAUCCUUUUUGUGCAUGGACUGAGCAAGCUCUGCACUUGGCUGAAUCGAUGUGGGGCCACCACCCUGAUUGUGUCCACUGUGUUGCUGCUGUUGCUUUUCUCUUGGAAAACUGUGAAACAGAAUGAAAUUUGGCUGUCAAGAGAGUCCCUAUUCAGGUCUGGAGUUCAAACUAUGCCCCACAAUGCCAAGGUUCACUACAACUAUGCCAAUUUCCUGAAGGACCAAGGUCGGAACAAGGAAGCGAUCUACCACUACAGAACAGCCCUCAAGUUGUAUCCACGCCAUGCAAGUGCGCUGAACAACCUUGGAACACUGACGAGAGACACAGCAGAGGCAAAGAUGUACUAUCAGAGGGCUCUCCAGCUGCAUCCACAGCAUAACCGGGCUCUUUUCAAUCUGGGGAAUCUCCUCAAGUCCCAGGAGAAAAAGGAAGAAGCUAUCACCUUACUGAAGGAUUCCAUCAAGUAUGGUCCAGAGUUUGCAGAUGCAUAUUCAAGCUUAGCUUCGUUAUUGGCUGAGCAGGUAAUUGUUUCACAUAGUAGUUUUUUUCAAUGUUAUUGUUACAUGUAUAAAUUAAUGUUACACAGAUUUUUGUACUAAUGAUUUAAUUUGUAAACCCAUAGUGGACAACCAAUGUCUAUGUCAGUUUCUUUUGGACAGAAAUUACAAGCCUAAUUUUCUCACUCCAAUAUUCUCUGUGUAGUGCAGGGUGCUUUUAGACAAAGAUGGUCCAUUAUUGGCCAUUGAUAUAUUCUCUCUCACUUUGGUACAGAAUCUAUCAAGAACAAUACAUGAUAUUUGAUGUUUUUAUUACCACUGACUUGUAAUAUUUUUCUGAGGAAUUGCUAGUGGUCUAAGAUCGCUGAACUCAAUAUGGAGCCAUUUGAUAAUCCUACAAAUUCUGUUUUAACAUCUGUUAAAAUAUUACAGAGGCUCAUGAGACAGGCUCCUAAGAGAACAUUUUUUAUGGCAUAAAACAGAGAUGUGUUUUCAAUCCCCUUCUUCUUUUUAGUCGUGUCUAAAUGAUUUGAUACCAGUUUUCAGAGUCUUAGAUGCAUGACCCCUGCUAUGGAGAAACAGAUAUAAGUUGUCUUCUCUCUAAAUUGAUGAUAUAGUUUUGUUGACACACAUAGUGCCCUUGAUAGACAGUAGAUUCUGCUACCAUAAAAUUGCCAGAUUAUCUUUAAAACUCAAACUCAACAUCUCUGCAACAUGCCCGACAGCAUUCAGUUGGCUUAAGGGUAAUAAGUGAUUUGAUACUGUAUGUCAGAUUUGUAGGGAGCAAUUUGCAUCAAAAAUUUUUGGAGGCUCCAGCAAGAAGCAAAAUUAGGACAUUCUAUGAAUAUUUAAGUGACAGAGAAUAUAAACCUAGUUGUUUUGCCCUUUCUCCCUGUAGGAUAGGCGGGCUUUCGAUUAAAAACCUCUGUGUGUUGGAUGAUUUUAAUGCAUGCUUUAGUAUAAUGUGUGAGCUAAAAUGGUCAUGGACGUGUCUGUGCUAUACACUGGCAGUCCUCAGCUGCCCUUGGCUUGUGUUGAAACAGACACAGAGGCUGGCUUCAUCAGUGUUGCUUUGUCUCACCUAACCCGGGACCCUUCCUUUUCAUGAGCCCCUCCCCUGCCUCUGACUGGCUGGUUGUUUUGCAGUUACUCAGAUGUGCCAAGUGUGCUUCUCUCUCACAGCCUUUGCACCAACUGUUCCUGCAGCACUUCUCUCCCAGAUAGAUAUCUUAGAGUUUCCAAGAUACUUCAUAUCAUGCUGGUUUCUGACCAAAUGUUACUAUAUCAGAGAGGUCUUCUGAGAUAACCCUUUGUAAACAGGAACCUUCCGCUGCCCAUCAUGUUCUCUACCACCAUGUCCUGCUUACUUUCCCUAUAGUAUUUAUCACCAUCUAAGACACAUUUAUUUGUUUAUGGACUUUCUGCCACCAUUAGAAUAUUUGACUCUAUGAGAACAGGUAUGUGUUUUAUUCAUCUAAGCUCAUUUUAAAAAUGAUCAAGAUUUUAAUGAUGUUGAACUUUAUUUUAGUUCCUUCUGUAGUAUCUUUGCAUUCAGCCUUACUAUUAACAAAUUUGGUAGCAGAUGGAAGUUUAAACAGGAUAACAUAUAUACUUUUUCCUUAGUUGUGUGUAAGAAGUGUCAGAUGGCUUAUUUAAAACCGAUUACUUGAUAAAUUUAGUGUUUUGUGAACUGCAAUGGCAAAUUGCUACCAAGUAAUUGCAUUUUACGUAGUUGAAGUUGUGAACAAUUGUUAAGAAAAACAAAUGAUGACUAGGAUCAUUAUCUUUUCUUACAUACAAAGGUCCCCUCUUUUAGCACUUUCCUGUUCUAGAUGUGAAUGUAAAAUGCUAUGAGAUCUAAGAAUGUAACUGAAAGAUUGAAAAGUUCUUUCUUCUGCCCCUUUGGGCAAUUGAUUUGAGCAUGAAAACAAUGAAGCAGCUGUUGAGCGUAACUCAGGACUGCCUUCCCCUCUCUGACUUUCAACAUCCUAUCUUCAUGUUUUGAACUAUUUAGUCAUAAAAGAGUGCAUCAGAUGUGCAAGCAAGACACAAACUGUUAGAGAAAACCCCACCUAGCUUAACAUUUUUUGGUAGCAAAUGAAUUCAUUUCUUGGUUGCACAACUUUAUUUAAUAGCAUCCUGGCAUUUCAGACACCCAAGAGUGUGUGAAAUCAGUAUUGACAAACCUUGGUCAACGUGUAACACACAUUGAAGCUAUCCCCUUAGUCAAGCGACUUGUCCUCCAUUGCCACCAUCUGUCCACGUGCACAGCCCCCACAGACUGUGGUUGUGGGUCAGUGUCAUGCCAAAAAGCUCUUUCCUACACUCAGCUGAAAUCAGCCAUUUUGCAGGCAGUUUUUCAGAAGCUGGAUGAAAGGAUUCAUUCUGUAUUUACAUCAGCCUGACAUAUUCUGUAUUUAUAUUAGCCUGACAUUUCUGAUUUUCUAGGACUUUUUAUUUUCCUGCCGUACAGUGUAUUGACUACCGUUUCCAGCUCUUUCAGUUGGCAAACUUGAUAAUAGUUUUAGUUAAAUAACUAGUUUAUGUCUUUGAUUUUAAAAAAUGUUAUGAAGAUCAGUAUUAGUUAGGAAGCCCUGCAGCAUAUCUGUAGAACCUUCUUUCCAGGUUGACCUUUAUCUUAUGCCAGACUCCUUGGGUAAACUUAUUCAAGCAUUCAUUAAUUUGUUGAAUUAUAUUAUCCUCUAGCUCACCUCUCUCAGUCUUGUCUACAGAGAUGUUUCGAGACACAUUUUCAGACACCUGCCAAAAUCCUUCCCCUGAUGUAAGCCUGUGAAUCUAUAAUAUCAAAAAAGGAAACUAGGUUUAUUUGGUAUACCUUGCUCUUAUUAUAAGCAUGCUGCUGUCUGUUGACAUCAUUUCCCAGCCUCAGUGCCAAUAAAACCAUGAAUGUAGGAUUUGUCAGAAACUAAUAUUGUGUUCCUUACUCUGUUGUAACCUGAAGGGAGAAAUUUAAUCUGUUUGCGCAAAGUAGGGGAUUUGACAAAUUUGAAAAAUAGAUUAAUGAGUUGAAAAGACAUUAUAUGGUAGAACAUAUUAAGGCCAUAAUGGAGCCCAAGUUUUACAUUGAUAGAUAAUAGGAAGUAACAGUAAAUAUCUGAGGAGACCAUUCUAAAACAUGUGAGGAAGGAAAUCUUGUGGAAAACACACGAUGUGUUUUGGAAAAGGCUUUUAUUUGCAUUCUGGUGUGAGUAGUUGAGAGCCUUGUUUGCAGAAGAAAGUGAGGGAAUGGAUAGAAUAUCGUGGAAAAAGAAAGAUUUCCAUGGUACAUAGGGACUGUCAGCAUGUAAAGGUUGAAAGGAAAAGAAAAAUAGAAAAUUAAGAACUCCAGGUCAGAACACCUAAGAAACUGAGAUUUAUGGCCACUGAUAGGCAUGGAUAAGCCAGACAGAAGCAAGAUUUUAGGAAAGAAGUAAGAUGAGUGUCAACAUUGUUUCCAGUUAAACAAGUAAUAUAAAUAUAUAAAGGAAACUGUGAAAACUCAGAGAAAAUAACAUAUACAUCCUUUAUUCAUAAUAUAAUACCUGGAGACAACAAAUAUUAUCAUUCUUUAAUACUAUGCAUGUCUUUUACAUAUAUUUAUGUGUUUCCAUACUAAUAUUUAUACACUGUUUGUAACCUGUUCUUUUCACUUGCCAUUAAAUUAUACAUACU